This 69-nucleotide transfer RNA is filed under the name Loxodonta africana (African savanna elephant). It matches the Rfam family "tRNA". Rfam says of the family: Transfer RNA (tRNA) molecules are approximately 80 nucleotides in length. Their secondary structure includes four short double-helical elements and three loops (D, anti-codon, and T loops). The record is from Rfam by way of RNAcentral. Lineage: Eukaryota; Metazoa; Chordata; Mammalia; Proboscidea; Elephantidae.
GCAGUGGUAGUUCAGCGGUAGAAUUCUCGCCUUCCAUGCAAGAGUCCCGGGCUCGAUUCCCUCAAUGCA